GUGCUCGCUUCAGCAGCAUGUAUACUAAAAUUGGAACGAUAUAGAGAAGAUUAGCAUGGCCCCUGCACAAGGAUGACAUGCAAAUUCGUGAAGCGUUCCAUAUUUUU
Molecule: small nuclear RNA, 107 nt
Filed under: Procavia capensis (Cape rock hyrax)
Lineage: Eukaryota; Metazoa; Chordata; Mammalia; Hyracoidea; Procaviidae
Source: RNAcentral